CGUUCUGUAAGCCUGUGAAGGUGUGUCGUGAGGCAUGCUGGAGGUAUCAGAAGUGCGAAUGCUGACAUAAGUAACGAUAAAGCGGGUGAAAAGCCCGCUCGCCGGAAGACCAAGGGUUCCUGUCCAACGUUAAUCGGGGCAGGGUGAGUCGACCCCUAAGGCGAGGCCGAAAGGCGUAGUCGAUGGGAAACGGGUUAAUAUUCCCGUACUUGGUGUUACUGCGAAGGGGGGACGGAGAAGGCUAUGUUGGCCGGGCGACGGUUGUCCCGGUUUAAGCGUGUAGGUGUGUGUUCCAGGUAAAUCCGGUUCACUUUAACACUGAGGCGUGACGACGAGGCACUACGGUGCUGAAGCA
Molecule: ribosomal RNA, 355 nt
Filed under: Salmonella enterica
Lineage: Bacteria; Pseudomonadati; Pseudomonadota; Gammaproteobacteria; Enterobacterales; Enterobacteriaceae
Also listed under: 1 other name
Description: partial 23S ribosomal RNA
Rfam family: Bacterial large subunit ribosomal RNA
Source: RNAcentral